GGAGAUGAGCCCAGCGCUGAAUCACCGCCUGCGUCAAUUGAUGACCCGGUGAGCCGUCGCGUAUAGGUGCAGCUAUCCUGGUGUUUGGUGCGCUCAAAGUCCCCUUGAGCGGGGCCACCGUCCAUAGAAGGUGCUAGACCUGUGCGGGCGACCAAUCACCGGGUGUGCUGUUCCCUGGAGUCGGGUUGCCUGAGAUCGCAGCCCAAAGUGGGUGGUAAACCUCAUCUAAGGCUAAAUAUGGCCACGAGACCGAUAGCAAACAAGUACCGUGAGGGAAAGUUGCAAAGAACUCUGAAGAGAGAGUUCAAGAGGACGUGAAACCGCUGGGAAGGAAGCGAAUAGAGUCGACGGAACCCGUUUCCAUCAUUCAACCGAUCAGCUCUGUGGUCUGCCACCGCGCUACCGUGCGCAACACUGCGGAGUGUGUCGGUGGUGGUCGCUGCGGAGUGGAGCUAGGCCCGUGUGAUCGGUGCAUUUGAUGGCGGUAUGCGCCGAGAGCCGCGUCACAGUGUGCGUCGAUGUCUGCCUGAUGCAGUGGACCGUUGAAGG
RNAcentral lists this ribosomal RNA (549 nucleotides) under Rhabdochona mexicana. Its description in RNAcentral is "partial 28S ribosomal RNA". It matches the Rfam family "Eukaryotic large subunit ribosomal RNA", at positions 99 to 506 of the family's 3401-position model. The record is from RNAcentral. Lineage: Eukaryota; Metazoa; Nematoda; Chromadorea; Rhabditida; Rhabdochonidae.